UCUAGAACUCGAGAUAUGGGCUGAACACUGAACAAUAUCUGGGCUGCAGGACCGAUUCCGACUUCUCCGUUGUUGCUACCGUUUAAACUCGAAAAUGACACUUUUAAAUCUUGGACUCUUUAUGAAAGUUUUAGGCCUAUGUCUUAGCUUUCCAUA
Molecule: non-coding RNA, 156 nt
Organism: Populus trichocarpa (black cottonwood)
Lineage: Eukaryota; Viridiplantae; Streptophyta; Magnoliopsida; Malpighiales; Salicaceae
Source: Rfam